UGGAUGCGUUGUUGAAUAAAUGGUGUGACGAAGAGUAUCAGGAGUAUGCUGACCAUAUGAAGCAAUUACGAGCAUUGCAAAAUACUCCUCAUUGCAUGGGGACCAAAAGCUAUGCGAGGUUGUCACACGAAGAAACUGUCAAGGAUGGCACUCCUCCUACGAGAGCACAAGCGUACAUAAAAACUCACGCGAAGAAUGAU
Molecule: long non-coding RNA, 200 nt
Organism: Alnus glutinosa
Lineage: Eukaryota; Viridiplantae; Streptophyta; Magnoliopsida; Fagales; Betulaceae
Exons: 3
Source: RefSeq, a predicted model, not a curated record